This 1576-nucleotide long non-coding RNA is filed under the name Canis lupus familiaris (dog). Its description in RNAcentral is "lncRNA (ENSCAFG00845027767.1)". Lineage: Eukaryota; Metazoa; Chordata; Mammalia; Carnivora; Canidae. The record is from RNAcentral.
CUGACAUUCCAGGAGGGGACCUGCGGGACACUCCCAGGCCACGAGCAGGCCUCCCUGGCUGUCCUCCCGCUGGAACGGCCUCAGCGGCCCGUCGGGGGGGACCGGCGAUCGCGGCCAAGCCUAGGAAGCUCGCCUGCAAGGGGGGGACAGGCGGCCGGGCCUGUAAAGUUUAGGACACAAGUGGGGACGGCGCGCGCUCCUGGCUUACAGGAUCCCGCAGGAACUCUGGAUCGCCCUGCAAUAAAAACACGGAGCAUCCUGUUCGCGGCUGAGAAGGGCUUUGAGGGUCUCCCGGGGGGCGGCUUUGAAAGGCUGCCCAAACCGCGGCCCUGAUCGCCGAGGCGCGUGGCUGACGAGCGCGCAAAGCCUGCCCGGGCCCCGCGCUCUCCCGGACCCCACGCGGGGUGAAGAGUGUCCCUGCGGAGAGCCGCGCUGCUUCCCCCCUCCCCGGCCUGCCCCCUGCGGGCAGGUGUCCCACCAUCCGGGAGGACGUCCGUUUGCACAGCAGCCUCCAGCGGCUGGACACCCAGGGCACCGCGGGAUGCUCUUCGCCCCGGAAUUUUGGCAAAAGGGUGUGCACGUUGCCGUGAUAAUCAUGUUUUACAUUCAUCACGCUGCUUUCAUCCAGAUGGGUUUAAGCAUUCUACAAGCUUUAUUAAGUAAGUAGAACAAGUUAUAACAGUUGAACUUGUCUAUCAUGGAGCGUGGUUUCUGGGUGAAUCAUGGUUUUUUGUUUUUUGUUUUGGCCACACACAGCAAUGGGGUAUCGAUCAGGGACGGCGUGGAGCCGAGGGUUUCAGCCGAGCCUCCGGGAGGCCAGGCUUUGGUCUGAACUGGAAGAGCACAAAGGCCAGCGGUGUCCUGUGGUGCGCGGAGCGCGCGAGGGCCAAGAGCACAGCAAAGACAGAGUUGCCAUCGUCCACACAACUUGACGGAAGGCCAGGCCAGCAGGGAGAUUGUGAUGCAGGAAAGUCAACUCGGCGGGGACUUCCAGCUGUUCCUUUCCACACCCGGGGCCCACUGGCUCGAUCUGCCCUCAGCUCUCCCUCUGUUGCCGUGUUUUUGGGGUGCCUCCUACUGCCGGGACCAUGCCCUCCUCCCUAAAGUCCACACUCCCAAGCACUGAGGGGGGCAGUCGUGCUUCCUCCCCACCCCCACGGUCCCACUGGUGCCCCCGUCCUGACAUCUUCCCUGUUUAUGAAUGAGGCCGCAACAAAGGCAGCCUUCAACACUUCUUGCGCACACCACAGUCGGGCCCUGGUGUCUCCCACACCCCUUCCCCGGGAAGGAUUCUGACUUUCUCUUGCACGGUGAUCGUCGGAGUCUCCUAUUAUUAUUUUUCCUAAAACACAGUAGCAAUCUGCCUUCAAAGAUGAAGCCAAAUGGCCAGCUCUAGAGACAAGGAUGUCCUGCCACUUUACAUGGCAGCCCUACCUCUCCAGCUUGUAGGGGCUGGCUGUCCCCUUGCCCACGCCGCCCAUCACACCAGGGUCCCCCUCCCCGAGUCACGUCAGUGUUCCCUCAUGGCUGGACCACAGCCCGGGGUCCCUCAACCCGCCCGACUGCUGCUGUUGUC